AACAGAUCCAAGAGUAGGCUUUCUGAAGCACCUUCUGAGCAGCUGGACUGUCACUGUCUUAAAUGGAGUGGUUGGGUUAAAAAUAUGUGUCUGUGAUGUAACUCCCUGGCCCUGAGCUACCACUGGAAGCAGGUCUCUCUGGUUUGACCUGUUAAUACCACAAACUCUACUUUGCCAGAAAUGUGACUACUUGAUGAAUAAGUUGGUCCCGGCCUGCCAAUUUGAAGUGAACUCAUAUUUGGCCAUCUGCUGGAGCGCCAACGAUCAAGAGGAGACCAGAUGAGUUUUCAAAGCAGUCCUCAAACACCCAGGACACACCUCAUCCUUUGCCUCGUGCUUUCUGCAAUGUUGCUGCUUACAGUCAUCUUCCUGUUAACCCUUGCCAUAAUUACCCCUUCCUGAUCACCAUUCUUUCACCAUUCACAACCCACUCAGCUCUUUCUCCAAGGUGCCCAUCUCAUGGACAGUGGCUUUGUUCUCUGGCAAGUUCCCUUCUGAGUUAUGUCCAGAUGGCUAACAGUAGUUGCCCUCUCUCAUACCCCCUGCUUCAUGCCCCAAAGCCCAGCAUGUCAGGAAAAUCACAGCACACCCUACCUCUCCCAAAAUGAAGUUGCAAGACUCUCUACCUGAGCAGUCUCACUGAGUGAAGGUACUCAAGGUAUCUGAUUGUGAUGUAAUUAAAACUAGAUGGAAAGACCAGAAAUCCCUUAGUCCCAGUCAGAUAUAGUGAAAGAGCUUACUCAUGACUAUUUGGAUUGAUUGAGAAUGUGGAGGUAGGAAGAAAGAGAAAGAUAAAGAUUCUCAGGAUUGCACUGUCCCUGAAUACAGGAUGGAAUCAUCUAGACUUUUUUUUUUCUCCAAUUAAAUUUGCAUUUCAUUCUA
This is a long non-coding RNA of Lutra lutra (Eurasian river otter), 882 nucleotides long. RefSeq lists it as uncharacterized. The transcript is spliced from 2 exons. Lineage: Eukaryota; Metazoa; Chordata; Mammalia; Carnivora; Mustelidae. The record is from RefSeq and is a predicted model, not a curated record.